GAUGAACGCUGGCGGCAUGCCUAAUACAUGCAAGUCGAGCGGACGGAGGAGGAUCUCGCCUCUAUGCCGCUGGCGGCGGACGGGUGAUUAAAACGUGGAUAACCUUGCUUUAGGAAUGGGAUACAUUCGGGAAACCGGAGACAGUACCCGUGGUUAUGUGGAACCGCAUGGAUCUAUAGUCCAGGACGGUUUUGCUGUCACCAGUACAUGGAUCCGCGUCGCAUUAGCUAGUUGGUAAGGUAACGGCUUACCAAGGCGACUCUGCGUAGCUGAACUGAGAGGAUGAUCCGCCACACUGGAACUGAGACACGGUCCAGACUCCUACGGGAGGCAGCAGUAGGGACUCUUCGGCAAUGGGCGAAAGCCUGACCAAGCAACGCCGCGUGAGUGAUGAAGGUCUUCGGAUCGUAAACCUCUGUAAUUCGGGAAGAAGGAAAGUGUGAUUAACUAUGCACGUCUUGACGUUACCAAAACAGCAAGCCACGGCUAACUUCGUG
This 497-nucleotide ribosomal RNA is filed under the name uncultured bacterium. Its description in RNAcentral is "partial 16S ribosomal RNA". It matches the Rfam family "Bacterial small subunit ribosomal RNA", at positions 28 to 507 of the family's 1533-position model. The record is from RNAcentral.